UGCCUCAUUCUGGAUUGGAAUGGGCCCUGUUGACUGGUGUCCAGAGUGGGUCAGUGUGGCUAAAAUUGAGACCCAGGUCACGCUUCCAUCACAGUGAACAUUUACAGUGGUGACAAGGAGGCCGGUAAUAUUU
Molecule: small nucleolar RNA, 133 nt
Organism: Octodon degus (degu)
Lineage: Eukaryota; Metazoa; Chordata; Mammalia; Rodentia; Octodontidae
Source: Ensembl